UACAGGGGGUGCAAACGUUGCUCGGAAUCAUUGGGCGUAAAGCGCACGUAGGCGGACUCUUAAGUCGGUGGUGAAAUCCUGGAGCUCAACUCCAGAACUGCCUUCGAUACUGAGAGUCUCGAGUCCGGGAGAGGUGAGUGGAACUGCGAGUGUAGAGGUGAAAUUCGUAGAUAUUCGCAAGAACACCAGUGGCGAAGGCGGCUCACUGGCCCGGUACUGACGCUGAGGUGCGAAAGCGUGGGGAGCGAACGGG
This 253-nucleotide ribosomal RNA is filed under the name uncultured bacterium. Its description in RNAcentral is "partial 16S ribosomal RNA". It matches the Rfam family "Bacterial small subunit ribosomal RNA", at positions 524 to 776 of the family's 1533-position model. The record is from RNAcentral.